RNAcentral lists this ribosomal RNA (346 nucleotides) under Cutaneotrichosporon mucoides. RNAcentral's name for it is "LSU rRNA". It matches the Rfam family "Eukaryotic large subunit ribosomal RNA", at positions 331 to 670 of the family's 3401-position model. Lineage: Eukaryota; Fungi; Basidiomycota; Tremellomycetes; Trichosporonales; Trichosporonaceae. The record is from RNAcentral.
AGACCGAUAGCGAACAAGUACCGUGAGGGAAAGAUGAAAAGCACUUUGNGAAAGAGAGUUAAACAGUACGUGCAAAUUGUUGAAAGGGAAACGAUUGAAAUCAGUCGUGUUCUUUGGAUUCAGCUAGUUCUUCUAGUCUACUUCCAUUGAACGGGUCAACAUCAGUUUUGUCCGGUGGAUAAAGAUAGUAGGAAUGUAGCUCCCCCGGGAGUGUUAUAGACUAUUAUUGCAUACACUGGGUGAGACUGAGGACUGCAGCUCGCCUUUUGGCCGGUCUUCGGACACGUUCGAGCUUAGGAUGUUGACAUAAUGGCUUUAAACGACCCGUCUUGAAACACGGACCAAG